UGGGGAAUAUUGGACAAUGGGCGAAAGCCUGAUCCAGCAAUGCCGCGUGAGUGAUGAAGGCCUUAGGGUUGUAAAGCUCUUUUACCAGGGAUGAUAAUGACAGUACCUGGAGAAUAAGCUCCGGCUAACUCCGUGCCAGCAGCCGCGGUAAUACGGAGGGAGCUAGCGUUGUUCGGAAUUACUGGGCGUAAAGAGCACGUAGGCGGCCUUUUAAGUCAGGGGUGAAAUCCCGGGGCUCAACCCCGGAAC
RNAcentral lists this ribosomal RNA (249 nucleotides) under uncultured Erythrobacteraceae bacterium. RNAcentral describes it as "partial 16S ribosomal RNA". It matches the Rfam family "Bacterial small subunit ribosomal RNA", at positions 355 to 621 of the family's 1533-position model. The record is from RNAcentral. Lineage: Bacteria; Pseudomonadati; Pseudomonadota; Alphaproteobacteria; Sphingomonadales; Erythrobacteraceae.